GGACCCGCACAAGCGGUGGAGUAUGUGGUUUAAUUCGAUGCAACACGAAGAACCUUACCAGGGUUUGAAAUCAUUCAAACUCCUUGAAAGAGGAGCCUCCUUCGGGAUGAAAUGACAGGUGGUGCAUGGCUGUCGUCAGCUCGUGUUGUGAAAUGUCGAGUUAAGUCUCGUAACGAGCGCAACCCAUGUCUCUUGUUGCUCACUGAGUGCUUAAGAGAGACUGCCGACCAACAUCGGAGGAAGGUGUGGAUGAUGUCAAGUCAGCAUGCCCCUUACAUCCUGGGCUACACACGUACUACAAUGGUAGGGACAAUGAGCUGCGAUCCUGCGAAGGCUAG
Molecule: ribosomal RNA, 338 nt
Filed under: uncultured bacterium
Lineage: Bacteria
Description: bacterial SSU rRNA
Rfam family: Bacterial small subunit ribosomal RNA
Source: RNAcentral